RNAcentral lists this long non-coding RNA (1232 nucleotides) under Lactuca sativa (garden lettuce). Its description in RNAcentral is "long non-coding RNA (LSAT_LNC004564)". The record is from RNAcentral. Lineage: Eukaryota; Viridiplantae; Streptophyta; Magnoliopsida; Asterales; Asteraceae.
UCAUCUAAAACAUUAUCCCCAUAAUUUAUUUGAAGCAAAAGUAUUAUUUACCUAUUUUUUGGAAUGACAUCAAAUUUUAUUAGAAAAGCUAGCAUGAUUACAAGAAUGAAAUAUAAACAAAAACAAUAGCAAUAAACUUUAAGAGGGAGACACAAAAUGGCAUCAAACUUUAAGCAAAAGAAUCCACCAUGAACUUCUUAAUACCUAUUUCACUUUAGCUUUCAUAACCUGCCCAUAUAAAAAGACAAAAAAUAGGUCAUUUGUAAGAGAAACAAUACAAAAAUGAAGGCCUAAACUAUCUGCAUAAAUAAAAAGAAUCAAGGUUGGAUGUUUUUUUCGAGAGUAGUUCCUGUCAUAUAUUCAUAUUCAAUAAAAGCAACAAUAAUCAAAGAAAUAAAAGUCAAAGUGAAUCCAAGUUUAAUUCACUCCAGGGAACUUAUAACAAAUUUUAAGUGUUCCAAAUUUGUAUAAACUGAUACUAUUUAGUUUAUAAUAUUAUAAAAGUGUAGCAUACCUUAAUUAAAAAGGUGUUCACAUUGUUUUUUCUAUUGAAGAUUAAGCUAAUUUUCCACAUUAUCAUUUUGAUUCGGUUUAGUUGUAAUGCACAAAUGCAACUAAAAUAAUUUAACAACUUGCUUUUCUCAACAACAAUUACAAUUUGGGGAAAAAAAAUGGUAAUUGUUAUAAAGGAAAAUGACUUUUAAAAGGGUAAGAUAUUUUUCAUAUCUUUAGGGAUUUAAUAGUUUUGUCUGGACUCUUAUCACAAUUAGACAUAAAAAGAACACUUUAUUCCUAUCUUCAGGUUUUUAAAACAUAAAAAUUGAACAAUCAGUAAGAUAGUUAUUACAGAGAAAGGCAUAGAGAACUUGUGGUCCCUAGGGCGAAACUCAAAAAAACACUGAAAUAAAAUAUUCUGAAGUAUAGAUACAGGGAAACUCGGAACUCAUAAAUCACUAACCAUAAAAUAUUCCAGAAAUCAGCACUAAUUCUAGCCCUUCUCAAAAUUGGAAUCAGUUAUGUACGCAUAUAUGAUUAUGCUGCGUCUCUAGGCUCGCUCGUCUCCUGUCUUCUCCAUGGCUUCUCGAAAUAGGGUUUAGGGUUUAGGCUGGCUUUACCACGAAGAAAGAUAAGGCGUGAGAUUUUUAGACGCUUCGAUUGCCGCCUUCAUCUUCAAUUUUCAGAAUCGCGCCCUUGCUAGUUAUUAGGCGUGCUUAUAACGUAAUUGAAGAUCG